Molecule: long non-coding RNA, 4893 nt
Organism: Homo sapiens (human)
Lineage: Eukaryota; Metazoa; Chordata; Mammalia; Primates; Hominidae
Source: Ensembl
GCUCAUCGAGGAGGCUCGGGCCGCACAGGAGCCCACGGAUUGGGUGGGAGGUUCAGGCAUGGCGGGCUGCAGGUCCCGAGCCCUGCCGCGCGGGAAGGCAGGAGGACCGUCCCUGAGCACUCUCCUGUGAGGCCUCUGGCUGCACUCUCUGCAAUCUAUCUAACAGCCUGUGGAUGAGGUCAAAGGAAAGAGGGAAGAAAGGAGAAAGGGGAGAAGGAAAGAACUUGAGGCUUUGAUGACCGUUGGAAUGCAGAGAAGCUAUGAGAAAAGAGCUACAAGAGAAAAAUGGCAGCAUUGCAAAGUGCAAGAACACUGAAGGGAUUAAACAGCAUUCUAGAAAACAAGACAGACCAUGAAGAGUAUGGGAAGAAACAGGAAGGCCUAUUUCCCGGUACCAUACCCAGAAGCUGUAUAAUAGGGACAACUUGCAGGCUGAGGUGCUCUCUGUGUCCUGACAUGUCAGAUUUGGGAAAUGAGUGAAGCAGGACGGCAACAUAGAGUCUUCCAGGGGCUACAUGAUUGUGAAAGAGGACAAUGAGAAAGGAAUGGAAUCCUGAGGUUGGAGAGUUGCUUAAGCCCAGGAAGUCAAGGCUGCAGUGAGCCAUGAUAGCACCAUUGCACUCCAGCCCAGGCAAAAGAGCCCUGGAGACUGACUGGCCAUUAAACACAAAAUGAUGACUGGUGCAGCAGGUGCAGUGAAGUGGGAAGGUGUGGAGCAAAUAAAAAAGUCCAUGGCAUCCGUAAGAAAUGCUGACCCCCAGGAAAUUUUAAAAGGUUAUGUGCACUGUGGUAUUCAUGACGUAUGUGUGAGAGCUCCUGGGGACAACAGCUAAAUUUCCCACCACACCACAUCCUGAGAGGAUCCAUAAAGAAGAAAUGGAUGUCAUUAGGAAAAAAGACUUCAUCAGGCACUUCCCCUAGGAGGUAGCAGGAAUUAAGCCAGAUCAAUAGUCAAAUUCUACUCUGCUUUUGAAGAAACAGCUGAAGGAAGCAGAUAAAAUUUGAAAGACUGUUCUUUCAUGGUUGGGAAGAUAGAAAAAAGCAAAGCAAAAUAUAAUCCUCGAUAUUCAUUCUAUGGUGAAAUGACUUCUAAUUUCCAUUUUAAAAGAGAUACUUUAAGGGCUACAAAAUUUUUGCUUAAAAAUUAUAAAAUGUUCCCAUUUUAAUGUAGAACCUAUACACAAGAAGGCAGGAAGCAUUUUAUCCCUCAGGUGUGCUGGUGCAGAGAGACAAUGACUUGAGAAAAAGCUGGCCCCAAAUGAUUACCUACAGAGUUUGAGCAAGAGGAUUGCUCAACAGUGAUCACCACAAAGUUUAAAUAGACUAAUAAACCUUUUGGUUAAAAAAGCAUGACAAGGGGAGGAGCCAAGAUGGCCGAAUAGGAACAGCUCCGGUCUACAGCUCCCAGCAUGAGUGAGGCAGAAGACGGUGAUUUCUGCAUUUCCAUCUGAGGUACCGGGUUCAUCUCACUAGGGAGUGCCAGACAGUGGGCACAGGUCAGUGGGUGCGCGCACCGUGUGCGAGCCAAAGCAGGGCGAGGCAUUGCCUCACUUGGGAAGCGCAAGGGGUCAGGGAGUUCCCUUUCCGAGUCAAAGAAAGGGGUGACGGAUGGCACCUGGAAAAUCGGGUCACUCCCACCCGAAUACUGCGCUUUUCCAAUGGGCUUAAAAAACGGCACACCAUGAGAUUAUAUCCCACACCUGGCUCGGAGGGUCCUACACCCACAGAGUCUCACUGAUUGCUAGCACAGCAGUCUGAGAUCAAACUGCAAGGCGGCAGCGAGGCUGGGUGAGGGGCGCCUGCCAUUGCCCAGGCUUGCUUAGAUAACCAAAGCAGCCUGGAAGCUCCAACUGGGUGGAGCCCACCACAGCUCAAGGAGGCCUGCCUGCUUCUGUAGGCUCCACCUCUGUGGGCAGGGCACAGACAAACAAAGAGACAGCAGUAACCUCUGCAGACUUAAAUGUCCCUGUCUGACAGCUUUGAAGAGAGCAGUGGUUCUCCCAGCACGCAGCUGGAGAUCUGAGAAUGGGCAGACUGCCUCCUCAAGUGGGUCUCUGAACCCUGACCCCCGAGCAGCCUAACUGGGAGGCACACCCCAGCAGGGUCACACUGACACCUCACACGGCAGGGUAUUCCAACAGACCUGCAGCUGAGGGUCCUGUCCGUUAGAAGGAAAACUAACAAACAGAAAGGACAUCCACACCAAAAACCCAUCUGUACAUCACCAUCAUCAAAGACCAAAAGUAGAUAAAACCACAAAGAUGGGGAAAAAACAGAACAGAAAAACUGGAAACUCUAAAUAGCAGAGCACCUCUCCUCCUCCAAAGGAACACAGUUCCUCACCAGCAAUGGAACAAAGCUGGAUGGAGAAUGACUUUGACGAGCUGAGAGAAGAAGGCUUCAGACGAUCAAAUUACUUUGAGCUACGGGAGGACAUUCAAACCAAAGGCAAAGAAGUUGAAAACUUUGAAAAAAAUUUAGAAGAAUGUAUAACUAGAAUAACCAAUACAGAGAAGUGCUUAAAGGAGCUGAUGGAGCUGAAAACCAAGGCUCAAGAACUACGUGAAGAAUGCAGAAGCCUCAGGAGCCGAUGCGAUCAACUGGAAGAAAAGGUAUCAGCGAUGGAAGAUGAAAUGAAUGAAAUGAAGCAAGAAGGGAAGUUUAGAGAAAAAAGAAUAAAAAGAAAUGAGCAAAGCCUCCAAGAAAUAUGGGACUAUGUGAAAAGACCAAAUCUACAUCUCACUGGUGUACCUGAAAGGGAUGGGGAGAAUGGAACCAAGUUGGAAAACACUCUGCAGGAUAUUAUCCAGGAGAACUUCCCCAAUCUAGCAAGGCAGGCCAACAUUCAGAUUCAGGAAAUACAGAGAAUGCCACAAGGAUACUCCUCGAGAAGAGCAACUCCAAGACACAUAAUUGUCGGAUUCACCAAGGUUGAAAUGAACGAAAAAAUGUUAAGGGCAGCCAGAGAGAAAGGUCGGGUUACCCACAAAGGGAAGCCCAUCAGACUAACAGCGGAUCUCUCAGCAGAAACCCUACAAGCCAGAAGAGAGUGGGGGCCAAUAUUCAACAUUCUUAAAGAAAAGAAUUUUCAACCCAGAAUUUCAUAUCCAGCCAAACUAAGCUUCAUAAGUGAAGGAGAAAUAAAAUACUUUACAGACAAGCAAAUGCUGAGAGAUUUUGUCACCACCAGGCCUGCCCUAAAAGAGCUCCUGAAGGAAGCGCUAAACAUGGAAAGGAACAACAGGUACCAGCCGCUGCAAAAUCAUGCCAAAAUGUAAAGACCAUCAAGACUAGGAAGAAACUGCAUCAACUAAUGAGCAAAAUAACCAGCUAACAUCAUAAUGACCGGAUCAAAUUCACACAUAACAAUAUUAACUUUAAAUGUAAAUGGACUAAAUGCUCCAAUUAAAAGACACAGACUGGCAAAUUGGAUAAAGAGUCAAAACCCAUCAGUGUGCUGUAUUCAGGAAACCCAUCUCACGUGCAGAGACACACAUAGGCUCAAAAUAAAAGGAUGGAGGAAGAUCUACCAAGCAAAUGGAAAACAAAAAAAGGCAGGGGUUGCAAUCCUAGUCUCUGAUAAAACAGACUUUAAACCAACAAAGAUCAAAAGAGACAAAGAAGGCCAUUACAUAAUGGUAAAGGGAUCAAUUCAACAAGAAGAGCUAACUAUCCUAAAUAUAUAUGCACCCAAUACAGGAGCACCAAGAUUCAUAAAGCAAGUCCUGAGUGACCUACAAAGAGACUUAGACUCCCACACAUUAAUAAUGGGAGACUUUAACACCCCACUGUCAACAUUAGACAGAUCAACGAGACAGAAAGUCAACAAGGAUACCCAAGAAUUGAACUCAGCUCUUCACCAAGCGGACCUAAUAGACAUCUACAGAACUCUCCACCCCAAAUCAACAGAAUAUACAUUUUUUUCAGCACCACACCACACCUAUUCCAAAAUUGACCACAUACUUGGAAGUAAAGCUCUCCUCAGCAAAUGUAAAAGAACAGAAAUUAUAACAAACUAUCUCUCAGACCACAGUGCAAUCAAACUAGAACUCAGGAUUAAGAAUCUCACUCAAAACCGGUCAACUACAUGGAAACUGAACAACCUGCUCCUGAAUGAACUACUGGGUACAUAAUGAAAUGAAGGCAGAAAUAAAGAUGUUCUUUGAAACCAACGAGAACAAACACACAACAUACCAGAAUCUCUGGGACGCAUUCAAAGCAGUGUGUAGAGGGAAAUUUAUAGCACUAAAUGCCCACAAGAGAAAGCAGGAAAGAUCCAAAAUUGACACCCUAACAUCACAAUUAAAAGAACUAGAAAAGCAAGAGCAAACACAUUCAAAAGCUAGCAGAAGGCAAGAAAUAACUAAAAUCAGAGCAGAACUGAAGGAAAUAGAGACACAAAAAACCCUUCAAAAAAUUAAUGAAUCCAGGAGCUGGUUUUUUGAAAGGAUCAACAAAAUUGAUAGACCGCUAGCAAGACUAAUAAAGAAAAAAAGAGAGAAGAAUCAAAUAGAUGCAAUAAAAAAUGAUAAAGGGGAUAUCACCACCGAUCCAACAGAAAUCCAAACUACCAUCAGAGAAUACUACAAACACCUCUGCGCAAAUAAACUAGAAAAUCUAGAAGAAAUGGAUAAAUUCCUCGACACCUACACUCUCCCAAGACUAAACCAGGAAGAAGUUGAAUCUCUGAAUAGACCAAUAACAGGAUCUGAAAUUGUGGCAAUAAUCAAUAGCUUACCAACUAAAAAGAGUCCAGGACCAGAUGGAUUCACAGCCGAAUUCUACCAGAGGUAAAAGGAGGAAAUUCCUUCUGAAACUAUUCCAAUCAAUAGAAAAAGAGGGAAUCCUCCCUAACUCUUUUUAUGAGGCCAGCAUCAUUCUGAUACCAAAGCC